This is an RNA transcript of Arachis stenosperma, 3206 nucleotides long. It is a transcript of the gene named KIN17-like protein, with no coding region annotated. NCBI's taxonomy places the organism in Eukaryota, Viridiplantae, Streptophyta, Magnoliopsida, Fabales, Fabaceae. The record is from RefSeq and is a predicted model, not a curated record. The transcript has 3 exons.
CCAAAAUUGUUCUUCGUCUGAUUCAGAAAUCUUCUCCUUUGCGCCUUUAAAGAUUUCAGUCUUCUUCAUCUUCUUCUCUCCUCUUCCUAUCCUCUUUCUCUGCUACUCGAUCUCUCUCAUCUGUCUCGCUGUACGUCGCACGCAAGAUGCCAUCAUUUUGCUGGGAUGCCCUAACCAAUUACCCAACCCAACAACCUUAGCUCCACACAAUGGCUAAACGCGAACUCAUCCCUCCCAUCACCCUCGAGCUCCUCCUUCCUCUCUCCGUCAUCGAUCUCACUCCCUCGCCUCCGUCCAUCUCCCGCUGCCGUCGCCGAAACGAGCUUCGAAGCCACCGUCGUUAUCGUGCAGCUUUGUUCCACCAUUGUGCAGCUACUGUUUCAGCUUUGAAAGCACCGUCGCGCAGCUCGGUUCCAUCGUCGCCGGGCUCGCCUCCUUUUUCCGUCGAGCAGCUCUGUUCCAUCGUCGCCGGCGCUAUCUCUGUUCCACCUGUUAUCCCUUCGGUCGUGCCCUUGUCCCCCUCUUGCUCAGGAUCUACUCUGCUCUGUUCUAGGGCUUCUAGCUUCUAGGCAAAUUGAUCUUGGCUUUGAAGCUGAGCUCCUCAAUUUCUUCCUUGGAUGCCUAACUAUUCAACUCAUGAAGAUCAACUUGAUGCUCUCCAUCCGUUGGAGUCAGUUAUAGCUGUUAUAGUUUGUUAGUGCCUGCUGGCAGUUAGUUAUCUCAGAGUGUACGGGUUUGUAUAUAAUCAUAUGAUCUCAGGUAUUGGACUUAAUUCCAUUCACAAUACAAACUCAGUUUUUGCAUUCCUUUACUUAUAUCUAUACUUUAGCAUGGAACUUCAUAUUGAACUUUGUCCGUCCAUAAAAGAAUUAAUAGGUGAUUUACAUUAUUUUUGAAUACUUGUUCACUGAUGGCUAAAGGUGUGAAAACCAAUUAACCUGAGACCAAUCUAAAAUCCGUCGUACUAGUAGAUAAUAGAAGCCCCCCUUAUUAACCUGAGACCAUAGCCCCAAAGAUCUAUGGGUUUGCCACCGCAUCAACCAUGAAACCAACCCAAUGGAGCUGUAAGUUUGUGGGCUCAAAUCAUUACUUUAGUACUUCUUUUUUAAUAUAAGAUCUUCAAUAUUCAUGAUUAUAUUUUCUACUGUAGAUCCUGGAGGUGGAAUCAACCAAAUUCCAGGGGAAUGUACUAUUUCAGGAGAUGUUAGGUUUAUGCUCUAGGAAAUUACAAUCAAUCUAGAUUUUUCUUUUAGGAAUGGUUUUGAUAUGGCAUUAGUGAUGUUUUUAUUUUGUGUGUUGCAGGUUAACCCCAUUUUACAAGUAAGCAACAUCUUAUAAUAUGGCCAAAGUUGUGCUCUUUUUGGAACUUUGGAUCCAAUUUUUUAUUCUUUGUUUUACUAGUAUAUUUCAUUUGCAAAGUAAUUCUCUAAAGGUAGAAGAAAACAUGUGAGAUUCAGAUAUUUCAAUGAUUUUUCAAGCAUAUCCUGCGGUCUAAUACUUUGUUCAGUGUGAAGGAUGUAGUGACAAAGCUGCAAGAAUAUGUGGACAACAUUAAUCUCAACAUACAUAAGCUAGAAACACGGGGUCCUGUUUCAAAAUAUGUUUUGCCUGAUGAUGACUUAAGGGGAAGGUUUGACUUAUUUAUCCUCCACUAUAUAUAGCUAUUAAGGUUUGGAUCCCUUGAUUUUUAAUUUUCACGUAUGUGUAGCUAUUAAGGCUUCCUUUGCAUUCUUCUACAACCUUACUCUAACUUUUGAUGAGGAAAAUUAUGGAAUAGCUUGUGAUCUUAAUUCCAAAGGCUACCAUGUUUUGUCCAAAGCAACUGAAGUAGUUGGGCAUGUGAAGCCUUACUCAAUUACUGGAAGUUUGCCACUCAUUCGGGAGCUACAGGAUGAAGGUUUUGAUGUCCAAACUACUGGAUGGCCUUCCUAAGAACAAAUUUAUACACGUUGAAUCUUGAUGUAGAUAAGAAACAAGUUACUCACUUGCGUUUCAUGUUACUAUUAGGUCUAAUGGCUACAUACCAUGCCCAGAAUGAGUACUGCUCGAUUGAUAGACUUUGGCAGAGUCAAACGAUAUAGUUUCACUGAAAUUUUGGGUGAUGAUUGGAUACAAAAGCACACAAAAAAAUUCCAGCAAAACCUUGAAGACUAUCAAAGAAGCUCAUGGAAUGAGGUGCUAGGCUUGUUGAAGCUAGACAACAACAACGAAUCACUGGCAAAAGAUGUAGAAAUUGAGUCCAUGAAAGAGAAGUUAAAGUUGUUCAACAUUCAAUUUGAGGAGAUAUGUUGCACUCAGUCUAAAUGGUUUGGCAGCUAUGAAAUACGGAAAGAGAUAAUAGUAUCCGUAGAAAACAUGUUGCCGGCAUAUGGAAGCUUCGUUGGAAGGCUCCAGGAUGUUCUUGGCAAAGCUUCUUAUGACUAUAUACAGUAAGGAAUGCUUGAAAUUAAAGCUCGGCUCAACCUUGGAAGAAUUGAUAAGGGAAGUGGAGAAGAAAAAAGAGAAAAUCAACAGGAAGGACUAUUGGUUGCGUGAGGGAAUCAUUGUUAAGGUUAUGAGCAAGGCCUUGGCAGAGAAGGGGUACUACAAGCAAAAGGGUGUGGUGAGAAAGGUGAUUGACAAAUAUGUUGGGGAAAUUGAUAUGCUUGAAAGCAAGCAUGUGCUGAGAGUCGAUCAGGAAGAGCUUGAAACUGUGAUUCUACAAGUUGGGGGCCGUGUAAAAAUUGUCAAUGGUGCAUAUCGUGGAUCAACUGCGAAACUUUUGGGAGUGGAUACGGAUCAUUUUUGUGCAAAGGUGCAGAUAGAGAGAGGUGCCUAUGAUGGCAGGGUACUCAAAGCUGUGGAAUAUGAAGACAUUUAUAAAAUAGCACAAUGAGUUUGAUGAGAAUAAUAACCAAGUGAUUUUGUGUUAAGUUGGUUGAAUAACAUUGUUUGUUCUUAUGUAUCUGUCUGUAGUUUAUCAGUUUUAUCUAUAUGUGAGAUCAGUCAUGUCGAUAAUCUUCUUGAUUAAUGAACUUCUACAAUGUUAUACGUGCAAUUAAAUGAUUAAUGAACUUCUUGAUUUAGAACGUAAUGGUUCAAUGUUCACAAGGUUGAGAUGUUGUUCUUCUGCUUACAUGUAUAUACAUUGGAUCAUUCUUAUAUCAGUUGCACAUAUGAAGAAAAAGAUUAUGAUUAUGAAUUUAUUUUCUUCUGCUUCACAUGUA